CGUAGGUGCAAGCGUUAAUCGGAAUUACUGGGCGUAAGCGUGCGCAGGCGGUUUGUAAGACUGUCGUGAAAUCCCCGGGCUCAACCUGGGAAUGGCGAUGGUGACUGCAAGGCUAGAGUUUGGCAGAGGGGGUAGGAAUUCCACGUGUAGCAGUGAAAUGCGUAGAUAUGUGGAGGAACACCGAUGGCGAAGGCAGCCCCCUGGGUCAAAACUGACGCUCAUGCACGAAAGCGUGGGAGCAAACAGGAUU
This 250-nucleotide ribosomal RNA is filed under the name uncultured bacterium. RNAcentral describes it as "partial 16S ribosomal RNA". It matches the Rfam family "Bacterial small subunit ribosomal RNA", at positions 526 to 779 of the family's 1533-position model. The record is from RNAcentral.